Molecule: long non-coding RNA, 4968 nt
Filed under: Sus scrofa (pig)
Lineage: Eukaryota; Metazoa; Chordata; Mammalia; Artiodactyla; Suidae
Description: lncRNA (ENSSSCG00000055722.1)
Source: RNAcentral
UUGUCAAUAUGUGGAACAUAUACACACAAAAAAGUGAAUUUUAGGCAUGUCAUUUAUAAUUCUACAGGCCUGGCCAAAAAGAGAUAUAAAAACAUUCAAAUCUUGAACAAUAUUUUCCUUUCUUUCCUUUUUUCCUUAUUUGGGGAAAAGCUUAAUUGAUGCAUAAUAUUUUACCAUUUGGAGGAGCUGUUAUAGCCAUAACAAUUUUUCUAUUUGAACAUUUAUACCAUCUUUUUACUUUUCACUGUUAUAGAUAAAAACUGAAUACACAAUAAACGAACAAUGGAAUUAUUUCCUCUUCAGAUGUGUUAACAUGGCUGGGAGUAUUUUGACAGUGUUAUGUAAUUGAUAUUCCUAAUUUGCUUAUGAACCAGAACUUGUAGAUUCUCCAGAGACAAGAAAAAUAUAUUCAAAAUAUUCUUGUUAGUUUUGAGAAAAGUGAUAGAUUCAUAUUAUGAUGGCUAACAUUUAUAGAUUAAGCUAUACGGUGAGAAAUAAGGGUGUGGAAUAUUGAUAGCCAAACAAAAAUAAAUCCUCCUCAAAUUAUUUAAAAAAAUCCUGGCUUUCCUAGGUUUGAGGCAGCUGAGAAGCAGAGUAAAUUUUUCAAUGGGUUUCAUUUCCUGAACAGCAAUACUAUAUGCCAGAGUGCUGGUGGCUAAUUUGUGUUUUUGCCAAAUGCCAAUUUAUGGCUAACUUGAGUCUCUGUGUGUAAUUUUAGGAUCUAUAAUAAUGGCUUUGUGCAAGAGAUGUGUCCAGCAAGGUUGAGAGUGUAGAUGUCUUCAUUGAUUAUUUUAAAUUCUACCACUGGCUCUAGGGUAGAGGUAUGUUAUGAAUCACUCUAGAUCCUUUUGGAACAGUGGGCCUGCUAACACCCAGGUCUCUGUAAAUGCUUUGAUUAGAUAAAUCUCAAAUAGCAACAGCCCCAUUGUUGACUUCGUUAACAUAAAUUCUCUAUUAGGCAAAGCAAUUUUAAUGUACAAUUUGGGGGUGGGAGUGGGGAACCCUGGAUGAAUAUGGGCUGGAAUGGAAAGAGGAAACCUAGAAAUGGAAAAAAAUAUCAUAAAUAAAUAAAUUCAUCUCAAGAUGCUUGUUUCAACUUCAUUUUAGCAAUCUUCAACCUAAUAACCUUUUUUUCCCCUAAAUUUGCCUUUGUUAUAGAGUUUUACAACUGGCAAGAACAUUUCUUUAUUAAGACUCUCUGUGGGUCUAAGCCUUUUUAAUGACCCCCAUAUCCAUGGCACCAUCUGGACACCUGACAUUUUAAAAACAAACAUUUAAGCAUAAUUGAUGAAUCAACCUUAGAUGGCUAUUAUGCAGGUCUGACUGCUAACCAUACAGGCAGUUCUCAUUCUACCAUGUUAAACCUUGCUAAGCAGAAAUAUCACACUGAGGGCAUUAACAUGGGAGUAUUGUAAAGAAAGAUUAACCUGAAGAGACUCUAAAGCAAUAACAGUGAUGAUCAAAAACAAACAAACAAACAAACAAAAACCAUAAGAAAUAACAUGAUGAAUUUUGGCCAGAAACCAUCCUACAAUUCAUGAUCAAAGGGGGACAUUGGUAUUGUAGGUGGGCCCUAACUUCCUUUACAAACAGCCCCAGCCAAGGAGACUCAGCUAAAAAAUGACUCAUCCAAUAAACAGCCACAAGUAUCCUGCCCUCUAGUAUCAAAGGAUAACCCUUGGCUUAUACUUCCUUAAAUAGCCAUAGCUUGUGGGAGAAGGGAGAAUUGACACUAAAGGGCAUCUGCUGUUUAUGAGGCACUUUUGAUUCAUGCAUCCAUCCAUUAAAUAUAACCAACAGAAAUGUAUUUCAUACAACUUUACGCAGAGUCCUAUUUUAGGUCCUGCAGAUGCAGCAAUAAGCAAAACACACCAUAAUGUUAAAUCUUUGGAACUUAAGUUCUACCUGGAGCCUGGGGGAAGGGGUGGCAGAAGGUUGGAGCUUUUAGACCAUCUGUGAAUUUGUGAAUUAGAUAUUAUUUUCCCUCUCUUACAGAUCAAGAAACAGACUCAGGAAUAUGGAUUGACUUCUACAAGGUUACACAACUAGCAAGUCAUAGAACUGGCAUUAGGAUUUAGGACUCCAACAUACAGCUUCUGUUAGAUCAUCAGGAAAUGUGCCUCAGAAAAGGACCUUCUACCUUGUUUACUCCAGACACUUUGAUGUAAAUGAGACUGUAAGGCUUCUUUGGAUUCAGCACAUAAAGCUUAGGAACAGAGUUCAAACACCAGUUAUUUAGGAGUAAUUAGCAGAACCCUGGGCUCAGAACUUCCAUCUUUUAAAUUUCAACUGUUUUAGGACUAUGAUAGGAUUUUUUGAUUAUUACUUUGAACUAUAUUGCUGUUGUGGGAAAGACACAUUCAGAGUUCUAAAUUAAUGAUUCACAAAUCUACUUUUGGAGUCUAUAAAUCUGCCAUUUCUGAUUUCUAACUCUCUGGUUGCUGAAACCUACUUUUCCAUGUUAGUUUCCAGCUCAAGUCAUCCUGAGUAAAAAUAGGAAUGCAACACAGUUUUUUUUUUUUUUCUCCUAUUCUUAUUCCUUUCAGAACUGUUCUCUUCCAAGGAAUAUCCACCUACUUAGUUUCUUCUCAUGGGACUUCUGGCAUACAAUAAUUGAUUUCUGUCUCUAGUUUCCUGGGCAAAAGGGGCAAGGCUCAAGUUUCUAUAUAAUAAUAUUCUGAAAAUCUAGGAAAAUUAUAUAAUUAUCAUAAUUGCAGUUUUUCCUUGUUUUACAAGGAUUUUUAAUAAAGCAUGAUAAAUAUAAUCUCAUACUAUAUGUUGUAUAGAAGGUAAGAUAUUUAUCCCCUCCAAAUUAACAGAGAAAUGAGGAGAAACAAGUGCUUAAUAUAAAGUAUUGACCACAAGAUUUUUUUUGAAAAAUAAUAUUUGUGGAUUUUGACAUUAAUGAGGCACUGAGGUAUAUUAAAAAUGGCUAUGUACAAGUUAACAUAUUGCAAAGAAUUAAAUAAAAAUCAAAUAACGACCAAGUCAUAAGCUCAUACUAAAAACCGGAAGCAAAAUUCAAAUGGUGGCUACACCAAUAACAGCAAAAAAUAAAAUUAAUUCUUUUAGAAUAUAAACUAAUUUUUGCCAUCUUUGGAAGUUAUGCCUUUUUAAUUAAUUUCAUGUUUACAAAAAUGGAAAAUUUAUAGUACAGAGGUGUGCCUUUACAAAGAGAAUUUUCCACCUCAUUAAUAAGGUCCUUUAUGAUGUCUAAUUUAUAAUUUGUAUUGCUUGAUAUAUUAUAUAUCGCAAGACUACUUUGUUAUCAUCACAAAGAUUUAAUUUUUGGCCUUAUUCUGAUUACCUAUCUUCAGCUUACUUUUUUGUGUCCAAACCCAUGUCUUGGUAGUCUGCUUAAUAAUCUCCUUGCUCUAGAAUUUAAAGAAGCUGCUCCUGAUUGACAGAUUCUUUCUAAGAUAUUGGAGCCUGUGCUUGCACCCCAUCAAGGAAGGGUCACGAAAAUCCACUAUGUGUCUAUAGGCUUCCUUGUGCAACCUCUUCCCUUAGAUUUUCAGAGUAACUUUCAGUGAUAUGCUGGACCCAACUCUUACUGGCUUGCAAAAGCCUGUUGCUAAAUACUCAGGAAUUUUGUGAGUGAGGAUGUAGCUGGAAAGUAGCCACAGUAAAAAGUAUUUAAACUAGAGAAACCAUCAAAUGCUUUUAGCCCUUGGAAGGCUGGUUUAUCAACAUGUCACUGAAUCACUGUGCUUCUCAGAAUACAUUAGAUAACUGUGUUUGGAUUUCCUGACCAUGAACUAUUGCUGAAUUUUUUUCCCCCAUUUUUGGCCAUCCUGCAGCAUAUGGAGUUCCCUGGCCAAGGAUCAGAUCCGAGUUGCAGUCACAACCUAUGCCAUAGCUGGGGCAAUCCUGGAUCCCCAACUUACUGUGCCAGGCUGGGGAUCAAACUUGUGUCCUAGUGCUCCCAAGAUGCCAAAAAUCCUAUUGCAUCACAGCGGGAACUCCGGAAAUAUUUAUUUUGUAUCAUAUUCUACUGAAUCUUAUCUCAGUAUUUUGAGCUGGCAUUACCUUUAAAGUGACCAUCUCACCUCAGUAAUCCUGUGUGGUUUUAAAUUCCUGUUCUUAGUUUCCCCUCUAUUCUUUUGUGAAUAAUUGAGACAUGGAUAGCAGAAUCUAAAACUAAGAUCCUCUGAAUGGUCUGGGGAGUCUGUCUCUUAUACCUGGGCUUGUCCUUCUAUAAACCAAAGCCUUCCUCUGUCAUCCCCAACUAUUAAAGUUACAUAAUUGUAUUUCAACCUCUAAAAAGAUUAAAAAUACUUACUACCCUUUAAUAUAAAUACACUCUGACUAUGGUUUGGGUACAUAGACACUACAAGGGCAGUCAGCUAAGACAUGAUUGGUUCUACAGGGCAAUUAUCAACUAGACCCCCUUGCAGAUGCUCUUAUUCAAUGCCAGUUAAACAGUCAUCUACUCCCCUGUAGCAAGAAGGAAUUUUUAGGAAUGGCUAGUUAAAUGUGGAUGACAGGCUGAGCUUCAAUAUCAUGAUUAGCAAGAAAACUGGCUACUUGCCUCUUCAAACUGUAUUUUUUAAUCUGUACCUCAUUAACUACCAUGUGUUUUAAACUGGCCUGUCAUAGCUGGUAAAGUGCUCCUUUUUUACCAUGCUUACUAAAGAUCCACCUCUGUAAGUAAACUUAAAAAAAAAUCACCUCUCUGCAUGCCUGGUAACAUCAUAAUAUUUAGGGAAAUGACAGUGCAUCAAUAAAAACCUUCAGGUGAUUCUGUUACCUUUCAAAGAAGCUAUGCACUUUCUGGUCUUAUGGCCCCAGCAGCUUUAAGAGAACCAACUCCUAGGAUGAUCCCAUCCCACCGUAAAGAAUUUGCUAUACUGCUAAGCCCAAGAUUGAGUAUACAUGCACUUUAUACUUCUUGUUUAGAGAAAUCUGUGUGUUCUCUUAUGGACUCUGACCCUUUACAUACCACAGUUUUGUUCUUUAAAAGAAUUU